GACCAACCCGGUGAAGGUGCACUUCGCUGAAGAGGUGCUGGUCAGUGGGCACAGCCAGGGGAACUCUCUGCUUUGUAUGCCCAACGUGCUCAAGGUGUACCUGGAGAACGGACAGACCAAAGCUUUCAAGUUUGAGGCAAACACAACUGUGAAGGUAUUAAAGAUAAAUCUGAACCCUUUUUUUUUCCAUAGGAAAGUUACUCAAAGGACCACCAGGCAGCUUGCCCUCUCUCUGCCUUGGUGGGCUCGUGCCUUCGGCAGCCUGCAUGCCCAUGACAAAAUAUGUACCGUAGUAUACUCUUUAGUUACAUAACCACCCAUAAGAUGGUUUUGGGGGAGACUCGGGGGUGUUUGUUUUUGUCACUUCCUGCAGGGGAGGGACUCGGGACUCAGCGAGGUGAAGUGGCUU
Molecule: long non-coding RNA, 409 nt
Filed under: Rattus norvegicus (Norway rat)
Lineage: Eukaryota; Metazoa; Chordata; Mammalia; Rodentia; Muridae
Description: long non-coding RNA NONRATT022237
Source: RNAcentral